RNAcentral lists this transfer RNA (56 nucleotides) under Carpoglyphus lactis (prune mite). RNAcentral's name for it is "tRNA-Phe". Lineage: Eukaryota; Metazoa; Arthropoda; Arachnida; Sarcoptiformes; Carpoglyphidae. The record is from RNAcentral.
AUGUUUAUAGUCCUAAGGGGGCAUUAGCUUUGAAGGGGCUAAACAGUUAAAACAUA